GGAUUCCCCUUCCAAAAAAAAAUAUCUUUAAGGUCUCUCUCUCAUGGGCUCCCCUUCCAAGCUCUCCUUGCUAAUCCUAACAGUUAUUCUCUUUAGAAGUUUUCAGGCCAAAGCUCUUGAUGGACUUGAGAGGGAUACACAUAGACAGGACGACACUCACAUGGCUGUAGAUUUUGGCCGGAAAUCUGGGCCACGACACCAUUUUCCGGCAAGUCGUGCGGUUUCUCGGCAGCUUCGAGAUGGUGGGUUGACCCCUCGUGCACCCAUCGGCAGGCAACCUACAUCCUACUUCAUUACACCACCACCAAUUUAUAUCUAAAUCAAAUGUUUCUGGUUAUUAGGUAGUUAUCUAUAUUUUGUUUUCCUUUUUUUCAAUAUUCUGGUCACAUGUUCUUGAUCAGUAACUCUUAAAUGUAGAAUUUUAUCUUUUGACAAUGAUGUAGAAUUUUUUCUUUUGUUAAUAAAUGAUGUUCACGUUCACUCAAA
Amborella trichopoda is the source of this 486-nucleotide long non-coding RNA. RefSeq lists it as uncharacterized. The record is from RefSeq and is a predicted model, not a curated record. NCBI's taxonomy places the organism in Eukaryota, Viridiplantae, Streptophyta, Magnoliopsida, Amborellales, Amborellaceae.